GGCCUUGUGGUCCAGAGGCAAGAUACUUGCUUUGGGCUAAUUGAUGAUGCGGGCAACUGCAAGUGACCUGGGUUCGAUUCCCAGCAAGGCCC
This is a non-coding RNA of Mycena haematopus, 92 nucleotides long. NCBI's taxonomy places the organism in Eukaryota, Fungi, Basidiomycota, Agaricomycetes, Agaricales, Mycenaceae. The record is from the annotation of a GenBank genome assembly.